This is a small nucleolar RNA of Eptesicus fuscus (big brown bat), 135 nucleotides long. Lineage: Eukaryota; Metazoa; Chordata; Mammalia; Chiroptera; Vespertilionidae. The record is from RefSeq and is a predicted model, not a curated record.
AUUAAAACCUACAUAGUCUAUCUUUGCAUGACCUUGCAGAUGUGACGGGAACCAAACAGGUUUGCUAAAGUAACUACGAUAGAACUGUAUUAGCCUCAGGGGCUACUGGGUGGUCCAUUCUAUCAUAGCACAGUG